Molecule: ribosomal RNA, 387 nt
Filed under: uncultured bacterium
Lineage: Bacteria
Description: bacterial SSU rRNA
Rfam family: Archaeal small subunit ribosomal RNA
Source: RNAcentral
GCGCGAAAACUUUACAAUGCUGGCAACAGCAAUAAGGGAACCUCGAGUGCCAGGUUACAAAUCUGGCUGUCGAGAUGCCUAAAAAGCAUUUCAUAGCAAGGGCCGGGCAAGACCGGUGCCAGCCGCCGCGGUAACACCGGCGGCUCGAGUGGUAACCGUUAUUAUUGGGUCUAAAGGGUCUGUAGCCGGCCGGAUAAGUCUCUUGAGAAAUCUGGCAGCUUAACUGUCAGGCCUUCAGGAGAUACUGUUUGGCUCGAGGCCGGGAGAGGUGAGAGGUACUUCAGGGGUAGGGGUGAAAUCUUGUAAUCCUUGAAGGACCACCAGUGGCGAAGGCGUCUCACCAGAACGGACCUGACGGCAAGGGACGAAAGCUAGGGGCACGAACCG